GACGAACGCUGGCGGCGUGCCUAAUACAUGCAAGUUGAGCGCUGAAGGUUGGUACUUGUACCAACUGGAUGAGCAGCGGACGGGUGAGUAACGCGUGGGGAAUCUGCCUUUGAGCGGGGGACAACAUUUGGAAACGAAUGCUAAUACCGCAUAAAAACUUUAAACACAAGUUUUAAGUUUGAAAGAUGCAAUUGCAUCACUCAAAGAUGAUCCCGCGUUGUAUUAGCUAGUUGGUGAGGUAAAGGCUCACCAAGGCGAUGAUACAUAGCCGACCUGAGAGGGUGAUCGGCCACAAUUGGACUGAGAAACGGCCCAAACUCCUACGGGAGGCAGCAGUAGGGAAUCAUCGGCAAUGGACGGAAGUCUGACCGAGCAACGCCGCGUGAGUGAAGAAGGUUUUCGGAUCGUAAAACUCUGUUGGUAGAGAAGAACGUUGGUGAGAGUGGAAAGCUCAUCAAGUGACGGUAACUACACAGAAAGGGACGGCUAACUACGUG
This 497-nucleotide ribosomal RNA is filed under the name uncultured bacterium. Its description in RNAcentral is "partial 16S ribosomal RNA". It matches the Rfam family "Bacterial small subunit ribosomal RNA", at positions 28 to 507 of the family's 1533-position model. The record is from RNAcentral.